Molecule: ribosomal RNA, 253 nt
Filed under: uncultured bacterium
Lineage: Bacteria
Description: partial 16S ribosomal RNA
Rfam family: Bacterial small subunit ribosomal RNA
Source: RNAcentral
UACGUAGGGUGCGAGCGUUGUCCGGAAUUAUUGGGCGUAAAGAGCUCGUAGGCGGUUUGUUGCGUCUAUCGUGAAAACCUGCGGCUUAACUGUGGGCUUGCGGUCGAUACGGGCAGGCUAGAGUUCGGUAGGGGAGACUGGAAUUCCUGGUGUAGCGGUGAAAUGCGCAGAUAUCAGGAGGAACACCGGUGGCGAAGGCGGGUCUCUGGACAGUUCCUGACACUGAGACACGAAGGCCAGGGGAGCAAACGGG